This 482-nucleotide ribosomal RNA is filed under the name uncultured bacterium. Its description in RNAcentral is "partial 16S ribosomal RNA". It matches the Rfam family "Bacterial small subunit ribosomal RNA", at positions 28 to 507 of the family's 1533-position model. The record is from RNAcentral.
GACGAACGCUGCCGGCGUGCUUAACACAUGCAAGUCGAACGCUGAAGCUCAGCUUGCUGGGUGGAUGAGUGGCGAACGGGUGAGUAACACGUGAGUAACCUGCCCUCUUCUUUGGGAUAACGCCCGGAAACGGGUGCUAAUACUGGAUAUUCACUGAUUCUCGCAUGGGGGUUGGUGGAAAGGUUUUUUCUGGUGGGGGAUGGGCUCGCGGCCUAUCAGCUUGUUGGUGGGGUGAUGGCCUACCAAGGCUUUGACGGGUAGCCGGCCUGAGAGGGUGACCGGUCACAUUGGGACUGAGAUACGGCCCAGACUCCUACGGGAGGCAGCAGUGGGGAAUAUUGCACAAUGGGCGAAAGCCUGAUGCAGCGACGCCGCGUGAGGGAUGGAGGCCUUCGGGUUGUAAACCUCUUUCGCUCAUGGUCAAGCCGCAGCUUUGGGUUGUGGUGAGGGUAGUGGGUAAAGAAGCGCCGGCUAACUACGUG